This 330-nucleotide long non-coding RNA is filed under the name Daucus carota (carrot). Its description in RNAcentral is "long non-coding RNA (DCAR_LNC007263)". Lineage: Eukaryota; Viridiplantae; Streptophyta; Magnoliopsida; Apiales; Apiaceae. The record is from RNAcentral.
GAGUCCAGUUAUUAGAGGUGAUGUGUGCGAGUAAGUUAGAACGUUAGUCCUCGGCGAUGACGCUUUAAGUUAAUCGGGACUUUAAACGACAUCAAGGUGGGCCCAUAACCCACAGGUUGGCGAUCCAUACAAUCGAUGAUAUGCUACGUGUUUUGCUAGUGACUUCACAGAUAAUGGGGAUGAAGUGGAGGCCAAGACUUAUUACGAACUAUAACGUCUACGAUGACAUCUUACGAGGCUAUUACGAAUCAACAUCGAUCGAUUAUCGAGAACAUUGAAAAGAAGACAUAUAUCGAACAAUGAUUUAUUGAAGCAGAGCGAAAAUCUGAG